RNAcentral lists this ribosomal RNA (484 nucleotides) under uncultured bacterium. RNAcentral's name for it is "partial 16S ribosomal RNA". It matches the Rfam family "Bacterial small subunit ribosomal RNA", at positions 29 to 507 of the family's 1533-position model. The record is from RNAcentral.
AUUGAACGCUGGCGGCAUGCUUUACACAUGCAAGUCGAACGGCAGCGCGGGCUUCGGCCUGGCGGCGAGUGGCGAACGGGUGAGUAAUACAUCGGAACGUGCCCAGUAGUGGGGGAUAGCUCGGCGAAAGCCGGAUUAAUACCGCAUACGACCUGAGGGUGAAAGCGGGGGAUCUUCGGACCUCGCGCUAUUGGAGCGGCCGAUGGCAGAUUAGCUAGUUGGUGGGGUAAAGGCCUACCAAGGCGACGAUCUGUAGCUGGUCUGAGAGGACGACCAGCCACACUGGGACUGAGACACGGCCCAGACUCCUACGGGAGGCAGCAGUGGGGAAUUUUGGACAAUGGGCGAAAGCCUGAUCCAGCAAUGCCGCGUGUGUGAUGAAGGCCUCCGGGUUGUAAAGCACUUUUGGCGGGAACGAAAAGGACUGUGCCAAUACCACGGUUCGAUGACGGUACCCGCAGAAUAAGCACCGGCUAACUACGUG